UCCUGUAUCGAAAGGUGAUCAUGGUGCCCUGGUUGCCAGGUCAUUUAAAAAUUACAGGUAUAUGAAUAUGUGAGCCUUCCCUGUGUUUGCAGGACUGUCUGUGCCUGUCAGACCCUGGUGCUCUCAGACA
Amphilophus citrinellus (Midas cichlid) is the source of this 130-nucleotide small nucleolar RNA. Its record names the gene SNORA71. It matches the Rfam family "Small nucleolar RNA SNORA71". Rfam says of the family: The members of this family belong to the H/ACA class of snoRNAs which bind a number of proteins (including dyskerin, Gar1p and Nop10p) to form snoRNP complexes. This class of snoRNAs are thought to guide the sites of modification of uridines to pseudouridines by forming direct base pairing interactions with substrate RNAs. This family includes U71 (SNORA71), ACA39 (SNORA39) and ACA60 (SNORA60). The record is from Ensembl. NCBI's taxonomy places the organism in Eukaryota, Metazoa, Chordata, Actinopteri, Cichliformes, Cichlidae.